UCGGAAUGGGAACACUGUAAAAAAGGUUAUCGAUUAACAAUUGGAGGGCAAGUCUGGUGCCAGCAGCCGCGGUAAUUCCAGCUCCAAUAAGGAAAACUAAAGUUGCUGUGUUUAAAAAGCUCGUAGUUGAAUUUCGGGUAUUUGUUGCUAGCUGGUCUAACUGGCCAUGUUGGUUAACAGAUCCUCAUUUGCUGGACGGCUGGCGAUGAUCUUUAUCGAUUGUCGUCAGUUGCCAGAACGUUUUACUUGAGAAAAUUAGAGUGCUAAAAGCAGGCUCACGCCUAUAUAUAUUGCAUGGAAUAAUGAAAUAAGAUCUCGAUUUUAUUUCGUUGGUUUUAGAAAUUGAGAUAAUGAUUAAUAGGAUCAGAGGGGGGCGUACGUACUGUGGUGUGAGAGGUGAAAUUCUUGGAUCGCCACAGGACGAACAGCAGCGAAGGCGUUCGCCAAGAUGUUUUCAUUAAUCAAGAACGAAAGUUUGAGGUUCGAAGACGAUUAGAUACCGU
This 503-nucleotide ribosomal RNA is filed under the name uncultured eukaryote. RNAcentral's name for it is "SSU rRNA". It matches the Rfam family "Eukaryotic small subunit ribosomal RNA", at positions 509 to 1018 of the family's 1831-position model. The record is from RNAcentral.